GCAGUGACUUACCUAAUAAUAAUUGAAGACGGUACUGAGUCAGUCGCAGCAAAAACUGGAAGCAACUUCUUCUCCCAUACGUUGUUGAGAGAGACAUGUGCUGAAUUGAUUAUUCCUCCCAAAAAUAGGAAUUAAUUAUUCAUCUAAAAGUUCAGUUAUUAUUAUGAUGAUGUCCCCUCCCUCCCUCUCGUAUUUAUCAGUUAUCAUCUGCAACUCUCUCUCACGCUACAUUCCUUCAUUAUUUUACUAACCCAAAACUAUGGUUACCCCAAACGAAACGGUGCCCUGCGACUUCUGCAAUCACCGAAUUGCCCUUCUCUACUGCCGAGCUGACUCCGCCAAGCUCUGUUUGUUGUGCGACCACCACGUCCAUUCUGCCAACCUCCUCUCCCGCAAGCACCUUCGCUCUCAGAUCUGCCAUAACUGCAGCGCCCAACCGGUUUCCGUUCGGCGUGCUACUCAUAAUUUGAUGCUUUGUCAAGACUGUGAUUGGGACACCCACGGUACUUGCUCUGUCUCCGCCGCUCACGAUCGCACCCCUGUCGAAGGUUUUUCUGGUUGUCCCUCCGCUCUGGAUCUGGCUGCGGCUUUCGGCUUCCAUCUCCAUGACACCAAACCGUCGGAUCAGAGCUGGAACAGCUGUCACCAACACUUGAUGAUGCCCAUCGCCGAACCAUGCUUCUACGGUAUGAGCGUCCAAGACUUAAUGGAACCUUACGACAGUUUAUGCAACGGGAAGACGUUGAAGAAGCAGAAUCACGGGAGUGGAGGAAAGUACAAGCAGGUUCUCUAUAACCAGCUUGCGGAAUUAAUGAAACGAAAUUGGAUGGGCGACGUUGUCGACGACUAUGACGAUGGAGGAGGAGGAGGUGGGGAGAAUGAUCUAGUGCAGAACGCGGAACCAAACGCCAACUUCUUGGCUCAACAACAAGAUAUGCAGCCGCAAGAGCAAAGGCAAACGCCUGAGAGCAAUCGCAUUGUCGAUGGAGGAGAGGUGUUGUGGAAUGAUAAUCUAAAUGGUCAAACUCCUCAGAUAUGGGAUUUUAAGUUAGGCGAAGCCCAAUUUGAAGAAGUUGGGAAUGAGGGAAGUGAUGGUGUUUUCAUGAUUAAGAAUUUCAAUCAACUUGUGAGAGAGACUUUGAGUGCAAAAUUACUGGGAGAUACGUGCCACUUUAACUACCAUCCACAAGAUUAUAUGGAUUCAAUCAAUAUGAACUCAAGUAAUCCAGGUACAAGUCAGGGGGCUGCCACAUCCGAGAGCAACAACCUACCGAUGGCAAGGCCGUCAACAAGUUCAGCUUUUGGAGGAACCCGUGGCUCCAGCAGUUGCAGUGAUCUUGUGUUCAUGGAACAAGCUUUCCUUGUGGGGAGCGACCAAGGAAGGCUAGCUGCAGCUAGCAAGGCUGAUCUUGAGUUGCUGGCCCACAACAGAGGCAAUGCCAUGCAACGGUACAAAGAGAAGAAGAAAACACGAAGGUUGUUUUUUCUUUUUUUCGUUUGGUUCUUUUCAUGUUAUCAUCUACCUAAUAAAUUGGUUUUAUCAAAAUGCCUUCUAUUAUUGAAAUUGGAGGUGUGCCAUGAACAGGUAUGAUAAACACAUACGGUAUGAAUCGAGGAAGGCAAAAGCAGAUAGUAGGACGCGAGUGAAAGGUCGAUUUGUGAAGGCUACCGAUUCUCCUGAUGGUUAAAGAUGUACUUGACUGUUGUAUAAUAAUUCAUAGGGUAUUCUGAACCAUGGUAAAGCGGAGGCCGGGACAGAGGAUGUUCGGCUUGUGGCUCGUCUCGAUGCGGUGAAGUCGUCUAAAGCAUAUUAUGGGGCUCAAAAUUCGAUGUUGGCACCGAACUCAAGGUCAUGACUUGGUUUACUUCUCUCCCCUUUUAUCUUCGGAUUCAAAGUAAUAGAGUUGAUUUAAGCAGUAAACGGUUCAAGCAACUUGUAUAUAUGCUCAAGCAUAAGCUAAGCUUCAAAAAUUUUGUCUAACGCUUUGGUUUUUACUCAAUAACAGAACAAUGGUAUUUGCUUUGCCAAUAUAGUUGCCUUCCAAAUUUUGCUCUUGUUUCAUGGAAUAAGGUUUGCAUAUCAAGUUUUUCUCUGGCUUUGCUUUCAAUAUUUUGCAGAUUUGAACAUGAACAUGCGAAGACCUAAAUAUCCGAUGGCACCGUGAAAAACCGAAAUAAGCGAGAGGCAGGCGAAAGGAAUUUAAAGAUGACUUGGGAUUUGGGGCUUCAGUUAAGCUUUUGUCUAAAGGAGCCUUCAGGUAAUAGAUAGGGUACAAGAUCUGUAUGCGAGUAGAGUAGAGGUUAUGUCUUGAAUUCAUCUCCAAGUUCUAUAGAAGAUUUGAUUGCUAAGUGGCAAAACCUGUCACUGAGACUGUGCAGCAACUUUUACUUUUUAAGGGUUUUAGGUAUGGAUUUUAAGAA
Molecule: RNA transcript, 2421 nt
Organism: Gossypium arboreum
Lineage: Eukaryota; Viridiplantae; Streptophyta; Magnoliopsida; Malvales; Malvaceae
Gene name: zinc finger protein CONSTANS-LIKE 14-like
Exons: 4
Source: RefSeq, a predicted model, not a curated record